UUUUAUUCCAAAAGUUUGGUCCUUAAGGGGUUAAACCCUAAAGGACACAUGAUGGAAAUUUUCCGCUGUGAUUGCCUUUUCUUUUUGAAGCUGUGUCCUUAAAAUAAGUACAUCUGUUUAAAAAUCCAGAUUGUAGUAACAAAAAGGGAACCGACAAACAUGGAAAUUAAAUCAUAAGGACCAUAAAAUGAGAUCUAAUUGCAACCAAUGCUCGAUCUAUAUCUGGCCACAGACUUUUUAUAAAUGUUACACAGUGAACUAAUUUGAGUUAUCCGUUCCUGCUUUGAAACAAGUGAUCAUAGCUAUAUAAUUAGAAAGUUGACAUGCAGUUAUAUAAGCCUGUGAUUUGAUCCAUGCUAGCACAAAAAGCAAAAGGUUUAAAUUAAUUUUAAUGAAGUCAGUAGGUUUUAUGACCUAGUCCCAUAAUACUCAAGAUAAAUAUGUCUGAAGGCAUGUUGUUUGUUCUCA
Non-coding RNA from Pelobates cultripes (western spadefoot toad), 468 nucleotides. Lineage: Eukaryota; Metazoa; Chordata; Amphibia; Anura; Pelobatidae. The record is from the annotation of a GenBank genome assembly.